Papaver somniferum (opium poppy) is the source of this 2072-nucleotide long non-coding RNA. RefSeq lists it as uncharacterized. The record is from RefSeq and is a predicted model, not a curated record. NCBI's taxonomy places the organism in Eukaryota, Viridiplantae, Streptophyta, Magnoliopsida, Ranunculales, Papaveraceae. The transcript has 7 exons.
UUCACUGUUCUGGAGAAAGGUGCAGGGACAAUUGAACUCUUUAAAAAGCUAACAACCAUGUGCGAGUCAAGACUCAGUUGAUUCGCUGAGUUAACAGUUCCCGUUCUUACCAAAUAUACCUUCUGGUCGGUCAAGUAUAGUACUCUGGUUAGGUCAUAUAGGUUUCACAGUAUCGGAAAUAAAAGAACAUCGAUUUCUCCCUUUCUUCAUCAUAUAUCUCUUUCAGUUUCUCAUGAGUCUGUCCGUCACGUUUUGAUGUUGGUUGAUUAAGGAGUGUCUAAAGGUUGUGAGUAAUUAGGAUUAUUGGGUUUGUUUACACGUCGAAUUUGCAGGAGAAAAGAUUACAGGGAGAGCUAUAUAUGAAUCAAACAAAAAAAAAAACGGAUUGUUCCAUCACCAGUUUCACGUCUGCUAGGUGUUCGGAAAAAAGUCACAAAAAGAAACAGCAGUUACCGACUCAUGAAUUACCCCAAAAUGAGCUUUAACAAAUGUUUUACAUUCAUGGAUUAGUGUAUAUAAUGCUCAUCGAUCAAUGAAAUAAAGCUAUCACUACAAUGUGAGAGAUGAAGGCUCUCCCAGCAUAUUGACAAGAGAAAUUAAGAUAGUCUAUCUAUAAGUAGCAUGGCGUCUUGUUCGAAUCUUCAGGUGCUGAUUAUGGAUGCAUGAACUUCUCAAGUUUAUGAAUUUUAUGGAUGCUUGUCUUUGGAUUUCAUUUGGUAAAGCAUGUACUCACCAGUCCAAAACUGUUAUGUUUACAUAUACUUUGUCUUCCAUAAUAGGAGUAACUUUGUUCAUCAGUGAUCAGACUAUAAGUGACUUAGUAUGUUUUUUUCUUUCAGGAAUUCUUAAAUAUGUUUGUUAAUUUAGAGUGUCAGGAAACUCAUUUGCUUUUCGUACUUCUCGUUUGGUGUACUUAGCAAUUUACUUGUGCUACCUGGUAAAAAUGCAAAUGACUUAAGAGCUGGUGGUCUAUAAAUUAUUUUGUAUAAUCUAUUCGUCAUGCCAAGGAUUUGUCUUUCAAUGAGAUUUAUGGGGAAAUACCAUAUGUUGUAUCAAAGUUGAAAGAAUUUGAAACAUUCAGGAUUUCGAAAAAUAAUCAGCUCAUUGGAUCGAUCCCUUCGAUUUCCUCACAGAUUCCAAAGUUGAAAAUCUUGAAUAAUGCUAACAACAAUCUCGAAAGUCCACUCCUAGCAAAUCAUAUCUCUUGUACCACUCUCAACAGCCUGAAUCUUUCAUCAAACAGUUAUAAAGGUCUGAUACUUACUGAGCUAUCUUGAAUCUGUAAUUUGGAUACCCUAUAAGUGCAAACCUUUUUUAAAAUUGCCAUAGUGCUACUUUUGAUCUUCGGGUUUAUAACAUGUGUGUUUCUCCGGGUACCUUUCGAACAAAAAGAUAUCUGGUCCUAUACCUUCUUCGAUUGGUGACUUGGAACAUCUCCUUACACUGUUAGUUUUCAUGCUCAGAGCUUAAGUUUCUUCAAGUUACAUUUGUAUUGCUCCAUUUAUCUUUCCUCUUUACACUUCGGUUUUUCAUGAUAGAAAUUUAAGCAAGAACCGUUUAGCUGAAGGGAUUCCGUCAGAGUUUGGAAAUAUAGGAGUGUGCUGGACAUAAAUGUAUCUUACAAUAAUAUCUUUGGAGAUAUCCCCACAGGUGACAACCUCUAAAAGUUUCAUGUUUAUGGGGAGGUUGUGCUUGCCGCUUAAAAAAUAACAAAGAUCAACACAUUAUUUUACUUGGAUGGUCUGCAGAUUAGGAGCAAAAGGAUGCUAUUGUCGUUGAGGUCAUCCGCGGGUUCAAGGGAUUAUAGCUAGGGCUUGUUGCAGCAACAAGUCUCAUGCUUGUGUAUAAUGGUGUUCACAUUGGUUUGCAUCGACUGGAAGUACGGAAGAUUCAAGUGAAGAGAACCUGGAUUUGGCUCAAGAAGAUGACAAUGAAACUAAUAUCCAUUUGAAUAGCAUUUAAACUCUUGAACUGUCCCUGGUACUCUCUUAUUCUUUUGAAUAACAUUGUAAAAGGAUUCGACAAUGUUGGUAUUACUUACGUGGUCUAUCAAACAAAUUUUAGAUACUCGA